CCCAGGCUUCCAUCUCGAUCCCAAGGUUUGAUGCGACACCGGGCGUGUUUGCCUGUUGGCAGCUUCCCCGUCACGUGCACUAGGCCCCCUGGGAGGUGGGUGGCCCUGCCUGCCGCCCCCGAUUGAAGGGCCCAUUCCCCGGGGACUUGGAGCUGUGAGCGCCGCUUGCCUGGCUCGGGAGGGCAGGAGCUGCUGACGUCCCCACGUCUCAGAUGAGGACCCCGAGGCUCGGGUGGCGAGGAGGGAACCCGGGGAAGCUGCCCAGGCCUGUCUGCUUCCAGGUCCCACCCCGGGCCCAUAAGGCCAGGCCCAGCCCGUGUCGGGACAGCAGCCCAGGGAGGGACGCUGUCCCACGGACACUGAGGCCUCGGUGGACCCCAUGCCGGGUGCCGGGAAUAUCCACAUGA
This 407-nucleotide long non-coding RNA is filed under the name Canis lupus familiaris (dog). RNAcentral's name for it is "lncRNA (ENSCAFG00000053096.1)". Lineage: Eukaryota; Metazoa; Chordata; Mammalia; Carnivora; Canidae. The record is from RNAcentral.